Mesocricetus auratus (golden hamster) is the source of this 1376-nucleotide long non-coding RNA. RefSeq lists it as uncharacterized. NCBI's taxonomy places the organism in Eukaryota, Metazoa, Chordata, Mammalia, Rodentia, Cricetidae. The record is from RefSeq and is a predicted model, not a curated record. The transcript has 4 exons.
CUUCUGUGAGGAGGUGAUUAGACUGUGCCUACAGUCUUCUGCAAAGGUCUUCACAAAGGUUCUCCCGAGACACCUGAUGCUCUUCUGUCCCUUGACCCUGGGCUCCAGCAACGCUUUCAGCAUGACAGCCCUCUGACUUACACACCUGCCGCUCGGCUGAGAUGUUCAGAUGAGAAAAACUGAAGUCUGACACCUUAAAUGGUUUUCCCAAGGUGGCUCAGACCAGAGUCUGGGUUGUAAAUCACAGCACUGACUUCCACCAAGUGGAAUAGAACUCAUCAAAUGAUGCAGAUUCAGGCAGUAACUUGGAAUGGUGACUCAAGCCGCAGCACUGAAUGAUUCUGAUUAGAACACACCUCUUUGGGUCAGGAGAGCUCUGACCCUACACCUGCCCUAACUAGACCCUGAUACCCGUGGCAGAUGGCUGGCGACAGGAGGGCAGGAAGUAUAGGCGGGGCUACCAGACAAGGAGAAUGCUGGGAAGAGGAAGACAGAGAGGAGCCUCCAGAGAGACACUGUGUAGCUACCGGAGAGACAGGAUGCCAGGCAUUCUCUGGAGUCACCACCUAUGUUCUGAUGGGAUCUGAAGCUUGCUGCAGAAGCAGAGUUCACAUCUGGAACUGUAAACCCAAUCAAAAGCAGGUGGCUUGGGAAGUCCUGAAGAAGCUACCGCUGUUGUCCUGCUAAGGAGAUGCCAUGUGCCUUUUAAAUAACUAUGUUUUUGCCCAUAGACUAGCGCCACUGUCGGCUCUGGCCAGAGAAAUGUCAUUUUGCAGUUAAGAGUGGUGACUUCAGAGACAACUGGAAAAAGUGUUGAGAAUAAAUGGCUGUUGAGAGACUGUCAAACCUCUCUCUCUCUGUCUCUCUCUCUGUCUCUCUCUCUCUGUCUCUCUGUCUCUCUGUCUCUCUCUCAGAAAACAACUCAGAUGGAGCAGAAAGAAUGUAAGAGUGGCAGGAAGGGAUGGGGAGCAUAGGACAUGCUGACAUCGUGACAAGACAGUCACACUCCUGAGCUCACAGCAGGUGUGACUACAGAGCUGUCCUCGACUGUACUAGGCCUGUCAGCACCCUGUUAUGGGAAGGAAAGGGCUCAUGGGUGCCCAUCUCUCCCUGAAGAUGAUAGUUACUUAAUGGUUGCUGAGGAAGGGAGAGGAAUAUCCUUUAGUGGGGUACACUGGUAAGGUGACCAUGCUUCUGUAAGCAACCCUAAUAAAAGUCACUGAAACCCACGCAAAAAAAAAACACAUGAAAGCAGAUGAGAGGCUAUUAGGGAAGGGUAAUGAAUUAGUGAGGAAGAUGCAGGAAUGAGAGAGGGUGAUGGAGAAGCAAGUAUUAUCAAAAUAUAUUCAAUAUGUAUACAUAUAUAUGUAUGAAAG